This 301-nucleotide ribosomal RNA is filed under the name uncultured bacterium. RNAcentral's name for it is "partial 16S ribosomal RNA". It matches the Rfam family "Bacterial small subunit ribosomal RNA", at positions 509 to 809 of the family's 1533-position model. The record is from RNAcentral.
CAGUAGCCACGGUAAUACAGAGGGUGCAAGCGUUAAUCGGAAUUACUGGGCGUAAAGCGCGCGUAGGUGGUUUGUUAAGUUGGAUGUGAAAUCCCCGGGCUCAACCUGGGAACUGCAUCCAAAACUGGCAAGCUAGAGUAUGGUAGAGGGUGGUGGAAUUUCCUGUGUAGCGGUGAAAUGCGUAGAUAUAGGAAGGAACACCAGUGGCGAAGGCGACCACCUGGACUGAUACUGACACUGAGGUGCGAAAGCGUGGGGAGCAAACAGGAUUAGAUACCCGUGUAGUCCCUGUCUCUUAUUA